RNAcentral lists this ribosomal RNA (266 nucleotides) under uncultured bacterium. RNAcentral's name for it is "partial 16S ribosomal RNA". It matches the Rfam family "Bacterial small subunit ribosomal RNA", at positions 524 to 786 of the family's 1533-position model. The record is from RNAcentral.
UACGGAGGGGGCUAGCGUUGUUCGGAAUUACUGGGUGUAAAGCGCACGUAGGCGGCUUGAAAGUUGGGGGUGAAAGCCCGGAGCUCAACUCCGGAAUUGCCUUCAAAACCCUUAAGCUAGAGUUCGGAAGAGGAGAGUGGAAUUCCCAGUGUAGAGGUGAAAUUCGUAGAUAUUGGGAAGAACACCAGUGGCGAAGGCGGCUCUCUGGUCCGAUACUGACGCUGAGGUGCGAAAGCGUGGGGAGCAAACAGGAUUAGAACCGUACC